Molecule: non-coding RNA, 680 nt
Organism: Pimephales promelas (fathead minnow)
Lineage: Eukaryota; Metazoa; Chordata; Actinopteri; Cypriniformes; Leuciscidae
Source: RefSeq, a predicted model, not a curated record
UUUACGGAAGUGACAGCAUGUUUUAAUAUGGCAGCUUCCUUAUCAAUGUUGCCCUUGUUGCCAGUAGCCUGAAUUAAUAUUUUGACAUUAUUUUUACUGAUGAACCCUGCAUCAUGGAACCGCGGUGCUUCGCUGCUGUAUGCUGUUGGCGUUUGGACCAUGCUCGGUUGCGGACUUUACCAAUACACCUACGGAAAGGAUAUUCCAGAAAAAAAGCCAGUCGAAGAGAAAGAUAACAGACAUAAUGUGAAGACAUAUGAAUCGGGAAGCUUGAAAAGCACCAUUGUCUAUAGGGAGAAUUUUGUGCCGCUCUCCACAAGGUUUUUAACUCUCUUUGGUUCUACAAAAGAAAGUGAAAAACAAGAGGAAGAGGACUUAGCUGACAGUUUUUUGUCCGAACGAAAAGAUUAACUGUCAUGUUUGAAAAUUAAAAAGAUAUAUGAAUGCAUUUGGGACAAUUCAAGUCCACUGCUGCUUAAAUGAAGAGAAUCGAGAUCCUGUGCAACCAGAAUACGCUCAAUCAACACCUCUACAGAAAUGAAGACUGUGUUCAUGGUAUCUGUUAAGUUAAUUUGCACCUAAAAUCCCAAGCUUUUAUUUUAAAAAGUGCUGGAAGCAUUUUUAGGGAACAAAAACUUUUCAUGAACUAUAUUACGAAUGAUAAAAUUCUUUCUAAAACA